GACGAACGCUGGCGGCGUGCUUAACACAUGCAAGUCGAACGGAAAGGCCCUGCUUUUGUGGGGUGCUCGAGUGGCGAACGGGUGAGUAACACGUGAGUAACCUGCCCUUGACUUUGGGAUAACUUCAGGAAACUGGGGCUAAUACCGGAUAGGAGCUCCUGCUGCAUGGUGGGGGUUGGAAAGUUUCGGCGGUUGGGGAUGGACUCGCGGCUUAUCAGCUUGUUGGUGGGGUAGUGGCUUACCAAGGCUUUGACGGGUAGCCGGCCUGGGAGGGUGACCGGCCACAUUGGGACUGAGAUACGGACCAGACUCCUACGGGAGGCAGCAGUGGGGAAUAUUGCACAAUGGGCGGAAGCGUGAUGCAGCAACGCCGCGUGCGGGAUGCCGGCCUUCGGGUGGGAAACCGCUGUCGCCUGUGACGAAGCGUGAGUGACGGUAAUGGGUAAAGAAGCACCGGCUAACUACGUG
Molecule: ribosomal RNA, 468 nt
Filed under: uncultured bacterium
Lineage: Bacteria
Description: partial 16S ribosomal RNA
Rfam family: Bacterial small subunit ribosomal RNA
Source: RNAcentral